This 253-nucleotide ribosomal RNA is filed under the name uncultured bacterium. RNAcentral describes it as "partial 16S ribosomal RNA". It matches the Rfam family "Bacterial small subunit ribosomal RNA", at positions 524 to 776 of the family's 1533-position model. The record is from RNAcentral.
UACGUAGGGGGCAAGCGUUGUCCGGAAUCAUUGGGCGUAAAGCGCGCGUAGGCGGUCCGGUAAGUCUGUUGUGAAAGUCAAAGGCUCAACCUUUGAACGCCGAUGGAUACUGCCGGGCUAGAGUCCGGAAGAGGCGAGUGGAAUUCCUGGUGUAGCGGUGGAAUGCGCAGAUAUCAGGAGGAACACCAAUAGCGAAGGCAGCUCGCUGGGACGGUACUGACGCUGAGACGCGAAAGCGUGGGGAGCGAACAGG